RNAcentral lists this transfer RNA (85 nucleotides) under Clostridium sp. Its description in RNAcentral is "tRNA-Leu". It matches the Rfam family "tRNA". Rfam says of the family: Transfer RNA (tRNA) molecules are approximately 80 nucleotides in length. Their secondary structure includes four short double-helical elements and three loops (D, anti-codon, and T loops). The record is from RNAcentral. Lineage: Bacteria; Bacillati; Bacillota; Clostridia; Eubacteriales; Clostridiaceae.
GUCCUAGUGGUGGAAUUGGUAGACACGCUAGACUCAAAAUCUUGUGGAUUUUUCCGUACCGGUUCGACUCCGGUCUGGGACACCA